Small nuclear RNA from Pongo abelii (Sumatran orangutan), 128 nucleotides. Its record names the gene U4. It matches the Rfam family "U4 spliceosomal RNA". From Rfam's summary of the family: U4 small nuclear RNA (U4 snRNA) is a component of the major U2-dependent spliceosome. The structure of U4 snRNA from yeast and human has been reported. The record is from Ensembl. NCBI's taxonomy places the organism in Eukaryota, Metazoa, Chordata, Mammalia, Primates, Hominidae.
AGCUUUGUGCAGUGCCAUUUCAUAGCCAGUGACGUUUAUCUGAGGCACUUGCUAAUUGAAAACUUUUCUCAAUACCCUGCCAUGAUGAAAUAUGGUUGGCACUGGCAAUUUUUGAGACUCUAUGGAGA